Molecule: ribosomal RNA, 1415 nt
Filed under: metagenome
Description: bacterial LSU rRNA
Rfam family: Bacterial large subunit ribosomal RNA
Source: RNAcentral
UUAGGUAAAUCCGGGGUUUCAAGGCCGAGAGCUGAUGACGAGUCGUCUUUUAGAUGACGAAGUGGUUGAUGCCAUGCUUCCAAGAAAAGCUUCUAAGCUUCAGGUAACCAGGAACCGUACCCCAAACCGACACAGGUGGUCGGGUAGAGAAUACCAAGGCGCUUGAGAGAACUCGGGUGAAGGAACUAGGCAAAAUGGCACCGUAACUUCGGGAGAAGGUGCGCCGGCUAGGGUGAAGGAUUUACUCCGUAAGCUCUGGCUGGUCGAAGAUACCAGGCCGCUGCGACUGUUUAUUAAAAACACAGCACUCUGCAAACACGAAAGUGGACGUAUAGGGUGUGACGCCUGCCCGGUGCCGGAAGGUUAAUUGAUGGGGUUAGCGCAAGCGAAGCUCUUGAUCGAAGCCCCGGUAAACGGCGGCCGUAACGAUAACGGUCCUAAGGUAGCGAAAUUCCUUGUCGGGUAAGUUCCGACCUGCACGAAUGGCGUAACGAUGGCGGCGCUGUCUCCACCCGAGACUCAGUGAAAUUGAAAUCGCUGUGAAGAUGCAGUGUAUCCGCGGCUAGACGGAAAGACCCCGUGAACCUUUACUGUAGCUUUGCACUGGACUUUGAGCCUGCUUGUGUAGGAUAGGUGGGAGGCUUUGAAGCGUGGACGCCAGUUCGCGUGGAGCCAUCCUUGAAAUACCACCCUGGCAUGCUUGAGGUUCUAACUCUGGUCCGUAAUCCGGAUCGAGGACAGUGUAUGGUGGGCAGUUUGACUGGGGCGGUCUCCUCCUAAAGAGUAACGGAGGAGUACGAAGGUGCGCUCAGACCGGUCGGAAAUCGGUCGCAGAGUAUAAAGGCAAAAGCGCGCUUGACUGCGAGACAGACACGUCGAGCAGGUACGAAAGUAGGUCUUAGUGAUCCGGUGGUUCUGUAUGGAAGGGCCAUCGCUCAACGGAUAAAAGGUACUCCGGGGAUAACAGGCUGAUACCGCCCAAGAGUUCAUAUCGACGGCGGUGUUUGGCACCUCGAUGUCGGCUCAUCACAUCCUGGGGCUGAAGCCGGUCCCAAGGGUAUGGCUGUUCGCCAUUUAAAGUGGUACGCGAGCUGGGUUUAGAACGUCGUGAGACAGUUCGGUCCCUAUCUGCCGUGGACGUUUGAGAUUUGAGAGGGGCUGCUCCUAGUACGAGAGGACCGGAGUGGACGAACCUCUGGUGUUCCGGUUGUCACGCCAGUGGCAUUGCCGGGUAGCUAUGUUCGGAAAAGAUAACCGCUGAAAGCAUCUAAGCGGGAAACUUGCCUCAAGAUGAGAUCUCACUGGGAACUUGAUUCCCCUGAAGGGCCGUCGAAGACUACGACGUUGAUAGGCUGGGUGUGUAAGCGUUGUGAGGCGUUGAACUAACCAGUACUAAUUGCCCGUGAGGCUUGAUC